GCGGAAGAGAUAAGUGCUGAAAGCAUCUAAGCACGAAACUUGCCCCGAGAUGAGUUCUCCCUGAGACUUUAGGUCUCCUGAAGGAACGUUGAAGACGACGACGUUGAUAGGCCGGGUGUGUAAGCGCAGCGAUGCGUUGAGCUAACCGGUACUAAUGAACCGUGAGGCUUAACCUUACAACGCCGAAG
This 188-nucleotide ribosomal RNA is filed under the name Salmonella enterica subsp. enterica serovar Bovismorbificans. RNAcentral's name for it is "partial 23S ribosomal RNA". It matches the Rfam family "Bacterial large subunit ribosomal RNA", at positions 2755 to 2925 of the family's 2925-position model. The record is from RNAcentral. Lineage: Bacteria; Pseudomonadati; Pseudomonadota; Gammaproteobacteria; Enterobacterales; Enterobacteriaceae.